RNAcentral lists this unclassified non-coding RNA (247 nucleotides) under uncultured fungus. Its description in RNAcentral is "sequence contains ITS1, 5.8S rRNA gene". The stretch from base 199 to 247 matches the Rfam family "5.8S ribosomal RNA", at positions 1 to 49 of the family's 154-position model. Lineage: Eukaryota; Fungi. The record is from RNAcentral.
UCUCCGUUGGUGAACCAGCGGAGGGAUCAUUAUAGAGUUUUAUAACUCCCAACCCUUUGUGAACUUACCUUUGUUGCCUCGGCGGGGCCUACCCGGUACCGACCCCUUUUGGGCGAAGUUACCCUGUAACGGCUGCCGGUGGACUACCAAACUCUUGUUAUUUUAUUGUAAUCUGAGCGUCUUAUUUUAAUAAGUCAAAACUUUCAACAACGGAUCUCUUGGUUCUGGCAUCGAUGAAGAACGCAGC